Molecule: long non-coding RNA, 1679 nt
Organism: Oncorhynchus masou masou (cherry salmon)
Lineage: Eukaryota; Metazoa; Chordata; Actinopteri; Salmoniformes; Salmonidae
Exons: 3
Source: RefSeq, a predicted model, not a curated record
GAGCUUUAAAGGACUCACUAAGAUUUAAGAUCCAGACCAGCCUGACCGACAGCAUGAGCUGAACGUUACGAAAUGAUUUAAACUCUACAGACCGGCCAAUGUACAGCGCGAGCUAAACGUUCCAAAUGGUUAAAACUACAAGACCAGACAGCGUGGAGCGGUGGCUACACCACGGAAAAUGGUGAGACCUGUACAUUGCUGGGUUACUACUGGCGUGUAAGUGGUCGGGAGCUGAACCCUGAAUAAUCAACCAUUGAUACCAAAAGACGUGAGACGGUGGUGUACACGUUGAAAUGGUUAGAAACUCUAAAGCUCUCAACCUCAACACAAGUGAAGAUCACCUAGGAGACCAGAAACAUUCACAGUCUGCAGCUGUGCAUGUAAAAGUGGUCCUAGAACUUUGACUAAAGACACAAGGUGGGAAGGAAGAAUCCCCAGAAACAACCAUUGAUACAACUGAAGUAUGUGUUCUAACAAACACUCCACUACCAGAGAAGCUCAACAAAGAAGGACAUUGUGACCUUUGGUGGACAACCAGAGCCUUACAUCGAGCCACUACCCAUAGAUGGAUCGAUUGGUUUCAACAGAUAGACGGCGAUCAGGAGCAGCUAUGCAUCCAAGGCUUACGCGACGUUCAGAAUGAGACUGAGAGGACAUGAGCCCUGGAACUAUCUGGCCUGAUGACUUCUUGCUGCCCCCAUUGCCACCUGGUUGUGCUGCUGCUCUAGUUUCAACUGCUCUGCCUGCAGCUAUGGAACCCUGACCUGUUCACCGGACAAGCUACUUUGUCCCAGACCUGCUGUUUUCGACUCGCUCUCUACCCCAUCUGCUGUCUCUACCUCUGAUUGCUCGGCUAUGAAAAGCCAACUGACAUUUACUCCUGUUGCACCCUCUACAACCACUGUGAUUAUUAUUUGUCCCUGCUGGUCAUCUAUUUACGUUUGAACAUCUUGAAGAACAAUCUGGCCUUAUGGCCAUGUACUCUUAUAAUCUCCACCCGGCACAGCCAGAACAGGACUGGCCACCCCUCAGAGCCUGGUUCCUCUCUAGGUUUCUUCCUAGGUUCUGGCCUUUCCAGGGAGUUUUUCCUAACCACCGGGCUUCUACAUCUGCCUUGCUUGUUGUUUGGGGUUUUAGGCUGGGUUUCUGUAUAACACUUUGUGACAUCUGCUGAUGUAAAAAGGACUUUAUAAAUACAUUUGAUUGGUUGAUAGAACAUAUCUACCGCUUAUUAGACAUGCUUUAAAGUAGAAUGAUAGAUCUAUAACUCAUAUUUCUAUGUGAAUUUGGUCGGGUCGCCCAAAAAGUUACAUAUUGCACUUUAAAAAGCAUUUGUUUUUGCCACGUGUUCUAUUACAGACACCUUAAUGCAUACUUUUUAAAUUAGAUUAUGUGAGCUCAACAUACAAAUAAAAAAGUAUAAUAUUUAGAGAUUACUAAUGUUACUGUCCCCACAAAAAAACACAACUAAAUACAUGUAAUUUUGUCCUUAACAUUUAAUUGAAAUACUGUUGAAUUCCAUUCAUUCCUAUGGAGAACUGCUCCUACUGCAGAGUUCUUCAAAGCCUCUCAAUAGCCAAUACAUAGUAUCAGCAAUCCAGGGUUUCUAUACAUCAUUGAUAAAAACAGGCAUGCAAUGGUAUGGAGGAGGGUAAGGAGUGGUUGUUGGUGAAGAUGGU